UACGGGGGGGGCAAGCGUUGUUCGGAAUUACUGGGCGUAAAGGGCUCGUAGGUGGCCAACUAAGUCAGACGUGAAAUCCCUCGGCUUAACCGGGGAACUGCGUCUGAUACUGGAUGGCUUGAGGUUGGGAGAGGGAUGCGGAAUUCCAGGUGUAGCGGUGAAAUGCGUAGAUAUCAGGAGGAACACCAAUUGCGAAGGCAGCUCGCUGGGACGUUACUGACGCUGAGACGCGAAAGCGUGGGGAGCAAACAGG
This 253-nucleotide ribosomal RNA is filed under the name uncultured bacterium. RNAcentral's name for it is "partial 16S ribosomal RNA". It matches the Rfam family "Bacterial small subunit ribosomal RNA", at positions 524 to 776 of the family's 1533-position model. The record is from RNAcentral.